UCCUGUUGCCUCGACGAGCCAAUGUAUUAGUGCAUGGGUUGUUCUUGUUGGCACAGUCAGCUCACCUCAUGAUUUGCACGACAGCUAUCCACCCUGAGUGGAUAGACUCAAGCGUAACUGAUUCUUCUAAUCUCAUGGGAGUGAUUGAAGGCUAAAUUAUCUCAUCCGUAAUAGCAUGUUCAACAGUCCUAUGAUCUCGAGAUCGCAUGAUCCCAUGACUAUUCGAUUAGUUGUUCGACAGCCUUCUAUAUAAGCAACCAAAAUCUCGAGGAUAAAAUAAGUUAAUCAACCCCUCUCAGAGAACUCAUUGCUAUUUCUGUUGUUCUCUGAAUCUGGCUUGAGCAUUGGAGGAUCCUCGUCAGAGCAAAAACCUUCGAUUUGGAUUUGUUUUGCAGGUCACUCUAGCAUCAUCAGUUCUGUGCGAGGCUCAGUUGCCUUCUCUCUGACCCUAACUAAAUCAAGCAGCAAUAGAUAGAGGAAGGGCGUAAUCUUCAUUAUGCCUCCAAGACAAACAUUAUCUCAGCUCUCCAAUGCUGUCGCCUCUUGACGGGUGGAGAGUCAUGCUAAC
This 568-nucleotide long non-coding RNA is filed under the name Elaeis guineensis (African oil palm). Its description in RNAcentral is "long non-coding RNA (EGUI_LNC038674)". The record is from RNAcentral. Lineage: Eukaryota; Viridiplantae; Streptophyta; Magnoliopsida; Arecales; Arecaceae.